GAAGAAGAAGAAGAAGAAGAAAUGACGAUGAGCAGCCAUAUUGGGCCUUUUGGAGAUACGACACUGACCAAAGUGUUUGUUGGAGGAUUAGCAUGGGAGACACCAACGGAAGCCUUGAGAGAGCACUUUGAGAAAUAUGGUGAGAUCCUGGAGGCUGUCAUUAUCUCUGAUAAAGUCACUGGCAGAUCCAAGGGCUAUGGAUUUAUCACGUUUAGGGAUGCUGAAUCAGCAAAAAAGGCUUGCGAAGACGCUGCUCCCAUCAUCAACGGUCGCCGAGCCAACUGCAAUUUGGCUUCUCUUGGUGCUCGCCGUCCGAGGUCCACCACUCCGGCUCCUCCUCAACAUGGAUCCAACGUUGGACCGAAAUCCACAUCACCAGCACCAGCAAAUCACGUGCAGUGGUACUAUCCAGCUGGUUCACCUUUAUCCCCAUAUCAUCAUCAUCAGCACCACUAUCAGGCCGUUCCCUUUUAUGGGUAAUCCAAGCUUAACUAAUCUCCAUUAUAGUAGUUUGCAAUUUAUGGAAAUUAAUACGUUCUUGUCUCAUGAUAUGCUCCUCCUCUCGUGCAGCUACACCCCAACUUACGUUGCAACUGACAUCAGUUACAAUCAUGUGAGUGAUAUAUUCAAUUUGCGAUUAUUACUAUUAUCAGAGCACUUAGCCAAAUGGUUUUUAUUUGGAAAGAAAAAAAAAAAAAUCUUAUUUUUGGGUGACUGAUGGGUCCACAGAAGCUGAGCUACACAGGCGGGUCCUACAUGAACGGGCAUUUUUCUCAGGUGUAUCCAGGGCAGCCCAUUAUGGGUGCGAAUCCAGCGAUGCCAAUGUACCCGUUUUAUCAAUUCCAUCAAUCACAGACGAUGGGCCUACGUGCCCAUAUCUUCCCACCAACAACAGCGGGCCCCCUGACGACAGUCCCCACCAUAAUACCAAAGACUCCAUCGAUAGCUCCUAGCCCAGGUAACAGAUGCUCUUCUAACAUGGUGAUGAUGAUUGUAUAACAACUUUUUGUGGUGGCAAUUGGCAUCACAUGGUAACAUAUGCCCUGUCCAACCUAACCUUAGUCAAUGUGAACAAGAAUCAUUGUGUCACGUGCCCUUGAGAUUGAUUUGGGGUCCACUGCCAACUGGCCCCUUAGAAACCCACGUGCGUGAGAAGACCAAAUUGCCCUUUUCGCCAGUGUGUACUAGCUGGUUGAUCAAUGCUGGUUUUAUGUGCUUUGUUCCAUUCAUUGUCCCAGCCUGCCACCUUUGUCUUGCGUGUGUUUUUCACUUUUUAUUUAUUUUUAUAAUUAUUUUAAAUCUAAAAUAGUAUUUUGUAGAAAAUUUAUUUAUUAAAAAAAAAAGUAUGAACUGAUUUUACAGAGACAGUUUGCUUGGCUGUGGAAUAGGUUCUGUUGGCACAGAGAAAUGCUUUAAAAUGGCCGGCUAAGGACAAACAAUGAGGGAGGAUGGUAUUGGCAGCUGCUGCAAAGACAACAUUAUUUUCUUAUAUGUUGUGGCUAUUAAUUCUUCCCUAUUUAUUUAUUUUUUAAAUAUUUCUUAUUAUGAUUCUUAAUUAGGUGUUUGAUAAUAUUCUUUCAUCUCUUCUUCUCUCUCUUUAUCUCUAACAUCUCAGCAUUAGCUGUGAACUGAACUAUUAGUUAAAACAAAAAAAUUAAUGUAACAGAAGUAUCUUAUGGGUUACUUUUGAUUGCCUCAAUGAACUUUGCAGCAUAAAAGCUUGCAUCUUAUAAUAAUGUGUUCUCAUAUAUUUAUACAUGUAUUUAUAAUUUUUUUGGAUGAAAUUUAUCUAAUAUUAUUUUGUAAAUAAUAUGGUGAAUAUUGAUGAUAUUGUGAAUCUUUGGGUUAUGAGAUGAAUGGAAUUGGAUCUCGAAUUGCCUGAAACCAAUAAUAAAGUGAGGUCGGCGGCCAUUCCUACUUGGGUAGAAUCCUGAGGCCUAUUGAUACUAUGGUAGGAGAUAAUCGUAAGAUUUUAUUGGUCAAUUCUAUGUUCUCCGUUAGCCAUAUGUAAUAGAAAUAUACUUGCAUCAGUGUGAUUCCCUGUAGCCGUGCAUUAUGGAAUAGAAAUUUUUACUUAAAUUGAAUUUAUCAUGGAUUUAAAAUACAAUUAUAUGAGAUUUAUGUAUUUAAUAAAUGAGUUUCACAAUGCAUCUUAUGUUUUAGAUUCAUGAUGGAUCGAUUCUAAAUAAGAAAAAUCCCGUUAUCGAAUUAUUGUGUGUCCAUGUUAUUUUUGUAAAUGUGGGUACCACAGUUUGUGUAAAACAAAGCUUUAUGAUUCUCUGUUGAUCAAUGCAUUUAUGUAUAUAAAUGAGUACAUGGUUAUUAUAAAGUUCUUAUCUAGUGGUUACAAAGAGAUAACAAUGAAUUUCAAGUAGAUGAGUAUCCAGUAUACAUGGGAUAAUGAUUGUAGGUAGAUGAGUAUCCUGUAUACAUGGGAUAAUGUUAUUAUCCUUCAUCACACCCCCUCAAUUCGAGGCAAUAAUGGAUCGAAUUGCCAACUUCUAGUGAAGAUUUUCAUGCCUUGAUUUGGACACGGUCUUUGUAAGUAAAUCUGCUAUUUGAGAGGAAAUAUACUUAACUUGCAACUCUUUGUUGGCUACUUUAUCAUGGAAAAAAUGAAAAUCGAUCUCGAUAUGUUUUGUGCGGCCAUGAAAAAUUGGAUUGGCAUUAAGGUAUGUCGCACCUAUAUUGUUACACCAUAGUGUUGGUGUGGAGGAUGGUCGAUUUCUUUUAGCACGGAUUGAAUCCAUGUUAGUUCAGUGGUUGCAAAGCCAAUCGCUC
RNAcentral lists this unclassified non-coding RNA (2781 nucleotides) under Hevea brasiliensis (rubber tree). Lineage: Eukaryota; Viridiplantae; Streptophyta; Magnoliopsida; Malpighiales; Euphorbiaceae. The record is from RNAcentral.